This 452-nucleotide ribosomal RNA is filed under the name uncultured bacterium. RNAcentral describes it as "bacterial SSU rRNA". It matches the Rfam family "Bacterial small subunit ribosomal RNA", at positions 354 to 796 of the family's 1533-position model. The record is from RNAcentral.
GUGGGGAAUUUUGCGCAAUGGGCGAAAGCCUGACGCAGCGACGCCGCGUGAGGGAUGAAGGUCUUCGUGAUCGUAAACCUCUGUCAGGGAGGAUUAAAUGUGUAGGUGCUAAUACCACCUAUGCUUGACUUAACUCCCAGAGGAAGCCCCGGCUAACUACGUGCCAGCAGCCGCGGUAAUACGUAGGGGGCAAGCGUUACUCGGAUUUAUUGGGCGUAAAGCGAAUGUAGGCGGUUUCAUAAGUCAGAGGUGAAAUCCCUCAGCUUAACUGAGGAAUUGCCUUUGAUACUACGGAACUUGAGGACAGGAGAGGAAAGUGGAAUUCCCGGUGUAGCGGUGGAAUGCGUAGAUAUCGGGAGGAACACCAGAGGCGAAGGCGGCUUUCUGGACUGAUCCUGACGCUGAGAUUCGAAAGCCAGGGGAGCAAACAGGAUUAGAUACCCGUGUAGUCC